GGUAUUGAGACAGUGUGUGGGAGCUGAGCUCUGUGGCGUGCAGAGAGAGAGGAUGGUCUCCUACAGCUCUAUUGAUUUUCUCUCUGUCUCUGCUCCACAGCGUCCCUCACUUCUCACUUCUUCUCUCUUCUGCUUCGCCUCUGAGAGAGCGGUUCUCUAACAAAGAUCUCAGCGGCCGCCGGCCAACUCUGACCCUUCACCAUCAUGGCACUCCAUUGGCUCUCCGUUGUGCCGCUGAAAGAACCCUCCGCGUCCAGACACUGACAUUUGAUUCUGCAGAAAUUACUGAGAAUGCUACAAUUGAUAACCGUGAGUCAAGACCUGCAAGACGUGUGACAGACAAACUGGCAGCCAUAAGAAAGGUCUGGGAGAAGUGGGUGGAGCAUCUACCAUACCUCUACAACCCUGGGCCUGAAGUAACAGUGGAUGAGCAACUGGUUCCAUUCAGAGGUAGCUGUCCUUUCUGGCAGGAUAUGCCCAGCAAGCCAGCAAAAUAUGGCAUCAUGAUAUGGGUUUGCUGUGACGCACAAUUCCGCUAUGCUUGGAAGAUGCAAGUCUUCACAGGGAAACCGACCAGUGGAGGCCCGGAGAAGAUGUGAGAGAUGGACUGAGGGGGCACAAUGUCACGUGACAAUUUCUUCACCUCUUAUGAACUCAGCCAGCGGCUCCCGAAGAGGAAGAUUACCAUGGUUGGCACAGUUAGAAAGAACAAGCCUGAGCUCCUCCCUGCAAUCCUCGCAACAAGGGGGAGAGAGGCCUUCUCAUCAAAGUUUGCCUUCACCCCCACCACCACUCUAGUUUCUUACCUCCCUAAGAGGACCAAUAAUGUGGUCCUCCUGAGCACACUGCACAAAACGGCUGAGAUCAGUGAUCGCGAGGACAGGAACCACAACAAACCACAGCUGCAAACAGCUGGAGGCAGGGCUUUCUCCUAUAGAGCUCCAUUUUUAUGGAAUGGUCUGCCUAUCCAUGUGAGAGACGCAAACUCGGUCUCAACCUUUAAGUCUUUA
Long non-coding RNA from Oncorhynchus gorbuscha (pink salmon), 1010 nucleotides. RefSeq lists it as uncharacterized. The record is from RefSeq and is a predicted model, not a curated record. NCBI's taxonomy places the organism in Eukaryota, Metazoa, Chordata, Actinopteri, Salmoniformes, Salmonidae. The transcript has 3 exons.